This 403-nucleotide ribosomal RNA is filed under the name uncultured bacterium. Its description in RNAcentral is "partial 16S ribosomal RNA". It matches the Rfam family "Bacterial small subunit ribosomal RNA", at positions 30 to 526 of the family's 1533-position model. The record is from RNAcentral.
AUUGAACGCUGGCGGCAGGCCUAACACAUGCAAGUCGAGCGAGCGGCGGACGGGUGAGUAAUGUAUGGGGACUGCCCGAUAGAGGGGGAUAACUACUGGAAACGGUGGCUAAUACCGCAUACUAUCGGAUAACCCAUAUGGGAUUAGCUAGUAGGUGGGGUAAAGGCUCACCUAGGCGACGCUCUCUAGCUGUUCUGAGAGGAUGAUCAGCAACACGGGGACUGGGACACGGCCCCGUCUCCUCCGGAGGAGGCAGAGGGAAAUAUUGCACAUGGGGGGAAAGCUUGAUGCAGCCAUGCCGCGUGUAUGAAAAAGGCCUUAGGGUUGUAAAGUACUUUCAGCGGGGAGGCGUUACUCGCAGAAGAAGCACCGGCUAACUCCGUGCCAGCAGCCGCGGUAAUAC